GAUGAACGCUGGCGGCGUGCCUAAUACAUGCAAGUCGAGCGAACAGACGAGGAGCUUGCUCCUUUGACGUUAGCGGCGGACGGGUGAGUAACACGUGGAUAACCUACCUAUAAGACUGGGAUAACUUCGGGAAACCGGAGCUAAUACCGGAUAACAUGUUGAACCGCAUGGUUCAACAGUGAAAGACGGUCUUGCUGUCACUUAUAGAUGGAUCCGCGCCGCAUUAGCUAGUUGGUAAGGUAACGGCUUACCAAGGCAACGAUGCGUAGCCGACCUGAGAGGGUGAUCGGCCACACUGGAACUGAGACACGGUCCAGACUCCUACGGGAGGCAGCAGUAGGGAAUCUUCCGCAAUGGGCGAAAGCCUGACGGAGCAACGCCGCGUGAGUGAAGAAGGUCUUCGGAUCGUAAAGCUCUGUUAUUAGGGAAGAACAAAUGUGUAAGUAACUAUGCACGUCUUGACGGUACCUAAUCAGAAAGCCACGGCUAACUACGUG
This 497-nucleotide ribosomal RNA is filed under the name uncultured bacterium. RNAcentral's name for it is "partial 16S ribosomal RNA". It matches the Rfam family "Bacterial small subunit ribosomal RNA", at positions 28 to 507 of the family's 1533-position model. The record is from RNAcentral.